Molecule: ribosomal RNA, 258 nt
Filed under: uncultured bacterium
Lineage: Bacteria
Description: partial 16S ribosomal RNA
Rfam family: Bacterial small subunit ribosomal RNA
Source: RNAcentral
UACGGAGGGUGCAAGCGUUAUCCGGAUUCACUGGGUUUAAAGGGUGCGUAGGCGGACAGGUAAGUCAGUGGUGAAAUCUCUGGGCUUAACUCAGAAACUGCCGUUGAUACUAUUUGUCUUGAAUAUUCUGGAGGUAAGCGGAAUAUGUCAUGUAGCGGAUGAAAUGCUUAGAUAUGACAUAGAACACCGAUAGCGAAGGCAGCUUGCUACACAAUUAUUGACACUGAGGCUCGGAAAGCGAUGGGGAUCAAACAGGAC